GGUCGGUCGCGGCCUUCCCGGAGGGCACCACGUUCUGCGGCGGCGAGCACGGGCGGUUCCGUCCGGCGCUGUUCCAGGCCGCGAUCGACUCC
RNAcentral lists this transfer RNA (92 nucleotides) under Actinoplanes sp. L3-i22. RNAcentral's name for it is "tRNA-Arg". The record is from RNAcentral. Lineage: Bacteria; Bacillati; Actinomycetota; Actinomycetes; Micromonosporales; Micromonosporaceae.